This 356-nucleotide ribosomal RNA is filed under the name uncultured bacterium. RNAcentral describes it as "bacterial SSU rRNA". It matches the Rfam family "Bacterial small subunit ribosomal RNA", at positions 29 to 412 of the family's 1533-position model. The record is from RNAcentral.
AACGAACGCUGGCGGCAGGCUUAACACAUGCAAGUCGAACGCAUCCUUCGGGGUGAGUGGCAGACGGGUGAGUAACGCGUGGGAACGUGCCCUUCAGUUCGGGAUAACCCAGGGAAACUUGGGCUAAUACCGGAUACGUGCGAGAGCAGAAAGAUUUAUCGCUGAAGGAUCGGCCCGCGUCUGAUUAGCUAGUUGGUAGGGUAAUGGCCUACCAAGGCGACGAUCAGUAGCUGGUCNGAGAGGAUGAUCAGCCACAUUGGGACUGAGACACGGCCCAAACUCCUACGGGAGGCAGCAGUGGGGAAUAUUGGACAAUGGGCGCAAGCCUGAUCCAGCCAUGCCGCGUGAGUGAUGAA